UGUGUCUUGCAGCUUGCAAUGGAACUGAGG
RNAcentral lists this non-coding RNA (30 nucleotides) under Homo sapiens (human). The record is from RNAcentral. Lineage: Eukaryota; Metazoa; Chordata; Mammalia; Primates; Hominidae.